UUAUAUGUCACCAGGGGAACUGGUGACAAUGUAGAUUGUGACUCAGGAGGUCUGAGAUGAGGCCUGAGAUUCUGCAUUUCUAACAAGUUCCCGGGUGAUGCUGGU
Molecule: microRNA precursor, 105 nt
Filed under: Marmota monax (woodchuck)
Lineage: Eukaryota; Metazoa; Chordata; Mammalia; Rodentia; Sciuridae
Source: RNAcentral